GGCUGUAUAAAAAGGUGGAGCACAGCGGAGAAGCUCUCAGUAGUUCAAGUUCAUCACUUUGAAUGGCAUCUGUUAGGAUUUUUAGCUCGGCUGGAAAGUAGAAGGUCCUGCUGGUCAGUUUCUGGCUUCUUUUUUUGCCAUCAGAGGGUCUCUGCAAGGUGAGGAAUACCAGCCUGUUUGGUUUUACGAAUAAGACCCAACUUUUCUCAUAAGGAGCCACUUUGAAAGCUUGGAUUACUUCUCUUUUUCUGGUCUUUAGAGGCCACCCCAGCCCUUCCCUCCAUUUCGACCCACCUCACACCACAUUAACAGACAUGAUCAUCAGACUGGGCAGGCUGACACCUGGAUACUUCCGCCUCCUCCAGAGGCAAGUAGCCGGUGAGGUGCAGACGCAGCCACAAGACCGUGCCGUCAACCAGAUAGCCAUGAUGCUGGCCAUCAUGGGCCUGAGUUUGUCCUACUACAGUGCCAAACAGAUGACUGAGAAGGUCCAGUCCCAGCCUGCACCCUGAAGGGACUUGACUACUCCGAUCGUGGAGCUAAUGGAUGAACCAAUGAGAAGUGAAGGAGGUGGAGGACGGUGGGGGGGGGGGGGGAUAUAUGCAGAGACACAGCAGUGUCUUCCAAGACCGCACUUUUUUUCACCUCAGUCAUAUUCACACUUGGACACUGAAUUUCUGGGAUCCCUCACUCACUAUGCGCACAGACCUCAGGGCUGCUGCUAAGUGUUUUCUAUACUUUCUGUUGUCGGGACCUUGAGGGGGUUAUGGGGAUGGCUCACAUGGGGUCGUGGAAAAGACCAAAACCAGAACCAGCUGACCGCCAACUGGGUCUGACCAUUAGUCGUUACAAAGGUACAUGCUUACAGGAUGCUGUCAGUACUGUUCUGAGCUACAAAAAACGGGGGGGGGGGCGGCGACUUUAUACUGUGAAUUUUGCCAGUGCUCAAAGCCUGUCCAUGUAGGGUUAACAAAUAUGAACAGUAAUGCCUCUAAGGGAAAGGCUGACUGUAAUUGAGAUGUAUCUUGUAACAAAGUGAUGGCAGUCCCAGAACAUGGUUAAAGGGGAUGAAAAGUUAGCAAAACUCUUAGGUUUUCUGUAUUUUUUUUUUUUUCCUUCACAAGAGAACCUUGCAGAGGCUUGUGAACAGAUUAGCAGCUGUAUAAACAAACUGUCAAUAUACUUGUGAAAUGUAUCUGUCAGUUCAGAGAUUCAGUGAAUAUUUGCGCUAAAGUGCAGAAACCUUUUUAAAUGCUAUAGAUCUGCAAAGGAACUUCUGACUACCUUUUUUGUUUUAUGGUGUUUUUUUUCCCCCCCCCCCCUAUGAUUUCACUGUUUUAACAUAAAUACAUGAAGUCCUGUUAAUAAGAUGUGUGAUGACCUUAAUAAGCACCCUGGUUAAUAAACCUUCCUGCCCUGCAAUAUCUACUACAUGUUAAUGCAAACAUUUACCUUUACUGAACAUUGCAUGGGUGUGCAGACUUUUAAUCGAAGCAAAAUUAAUGAGUGUCUUGUUUUUAUUGAUGAAUGAAUGUAUUACUUUGUAAUGAUUUAAUAAAACUGUGAAUAUUUUGAACGAGA
Molecule: long non-coding RNA, 1581 nt
Organism: Sander lucioperca (pikeperch)
Lineage: Eukaryota; Metazoa; Chordata; Actinopteri; Perciformes; Percidae
Exons: 3
Source: RefSeq, a predicted model, not a curated record